Molecule: ribosomal RNA, 253 nt
Filed under: uncultured bacterium
Lineage: Bacteria
Description: partial 16S ribosomal RNA
Rfam family: Bacterial small subunit ribosomal RNA
Source: RNAcentral
UACGUAGGGUCCGAGCGUUGUCCGGAAUUAUUGGGCGUAAAGAGCUCGUAGGCGGUCUGUCGCGUCGGCUGUGAAACCCCGGGGCUCAACCCCGGGCCUGCAGUCGAUACGGGCAGACUAGAGUGCGGUAGGGGAGACUGGAAUUCCUGGUGUAGCGGUGGAAUGCGCAGAUAUCAGGAGGAACACCGAUGGCGAAGGCAGGUCUCUGGGCCGCAACUGACGCUGAGGAGCGAAAGCAUGGGGAGCGAACAGG